AGAGUUUGAUCCUGGCUCAGAACAAACGCUGGCGGCGUGCCUAAUACAUGCAAGUCGAACGAGGAAAGCCUCCGGGUGAGUACUAGUGGCGCACGGGUGAGUAACACGUGGGUAAUUUUCCUUAGAGUGGGGGAUAACUAGUCGAAAGAUUAGCUAAUACCGCAUAAGACCACAGAAUCUGCGGAUUCAGAGGUAAAAGGUUUUUCGCUCUAAGAUAAGCCCGCGUAAGAUUAGCUAGUUGGUGAGGUAAUGGCUCACCAAGGCGACGAUCUUUAGCUGGUCUGAGAGGAUGAUCAGCCACACUGGAACUGAGACACGGUCCAGACUCCUACGGGAGGCAGCAGUAGGGAAUAUUGCACAAUGGAGGAAACUCUGAUGCAGCGACGCCGCGUGAGUGAUGAAGGACUUCGGUUCGUAAAGCUCUGUCGUAUGGGAAUAAGAAAGUGAAUGUACCAUGCAAGAAAGGAUCGGCUAACUUCGUGCCAGCAGCCGCGGUAAGACGAGGGAUCCUAGCGUUGUUCGGAAUCAUUGGGCGUAAAGCGGGUGUAGGUGGCUUGUAAGUCAGGUGUGAAAGCCCAGGGCUCAACCCUGGAAGUGCAUUUGAUACUGCGAAGCUUGAGUGCUGGAGAGGCUACUAGAAUUCCAGGUGUAGUGGUGAAAUACGUAGAUAUCUGGAGGAAUACCGGAGGCGAAGGCGGGUAGCCAGCCAGACACUGACACUCAGACCCGAAAGUGUGGGGAUCAAACAGGAUUAGAUACCCUGGUAGUCCACACCGUAAACGAUGGAUACUUGUUGUUGGAGGUAUUGACCCCUUCAGUGACGCAGUUAACACGGUAAGUAUCCCGCCUGGGGAGUACGGUCGCAAGAUUAAAACUCAAAGAAAUUGACGGGGGCCCGCACAAGCGGUGGAGUAUGUGGUUUAAUUCGAUGCAACGCGAAGAACCUUACCUACUUUUGACAUGUACUGGAAGACUGGCAGAGAUGUCGUCGCCCGCAAGGGCCGGUACACAGGUGCUGCAUGGCUGUCGUCAGCUCGUGUCGUGAGAUGUUGGGUUAAGUCCCGCAACGAGCGCAACCCUCGCCAUUAGUUGCCAUCAUUUAGUUGGGAACUCUAAUGGGACUGCCGGUGCUAAGCCGGAGGAAGGUGGGGAUGACGUCAAGUCCUCAUGGCCCUUACAGGGUGGGCUACACACGUGCUA
This 1200-nucleotide ribosomal RNA is filed under the name uncultured bacterium. Its description in RNAcentral is "bacterial SSU rRNA". It matches the Rfam family "Bacterial small subunit ribosomal RNA", at positions 8 to 1227 of the family's 1533-position model. The record is from RNAcentral.